UUGGUUUUCUGGCGUUUAGCUGUGUGGUCUACUGUUUAACAACAUGAGAUUUCUGUUAACAUUUCUUACAAUUUGCAUUCAACUCACUGUGAUGUGGUUGCAACUGCCGCAAGCUGAAGCGAAGAAGAGAGGAGUAUGCUGUCUGGCAACAAUGGUUUGUUACAGCAUCAAAACCGAUAGACAAUGCCAUUGGUUUCCCAAUGGCUAUCGUGUGAAUUACCAAGAUCCAACAUUCUGUUAUAGUGAGCUCUGUGGCAGCCUCAAACUUCCGACACCUUGCUGCGGCGUUAGAAGUUGCAACAUUUUCUGUUGCAAUUGUGACAAGUGCUGGAAAUAUAAUAAUCUCGUAGCCAUCGACUUUCGGAACAAAUAUUACGGCAAAGCUUUCAAUGUGUUUGAACGCGCAACAAUCCCUAAGUUACCUGGUCAUAUAUACCCCCAUCGCCCCAAUCUUUUAGGUUAAUGCUCGAUUGUUGAAAUAUCUACUUAGUCUAGAAAUUCAUUUAUAUUUUCGAUUACAGUUACCUGGUCAUGUAUACCCCAAAACUGUACAAAAUUAAAUGUGAAAUAUAUUAGUCUUAAAAGGUAUUUCGAAUAAAUUCAGUUGCAGUUGAGCGAUGUUUUAAAAA
Molecule: long non-coding RNA, 629 nt
Organism: Drosophila albomicans
Lineage: Eukaryota; Metazoa; Arthropoda; Insecta; Diptera; Drosophilidae
Exons: 2
Source: RefSeq, a predicted model, not a curated record